UUCCUGACGAAGUCGGCAUUCGUUAAUUUUAGAAAUAUUGGAGUGAGUCAAUGGCCCGUAUUGCAGGGGUAAACAUUCCGAAC
Regulatory RNA element from Azonexus hydrophilus, 83 nucleotides. It matches the Rfam family "Alpha operon ribosome binding site". Rfam says of the family: The bacterial alpha operon ribosome binding site is surrounded by this complex pseudoknotted structure. The record is from Rfam. NCBI's taxonomy places the organism in Bacteria, Pseudomonadati, Pseudomonadota, Betaproteobacteria, Rhodocyclales, Azonexaceae.